AAGGCCGGCAAUGCACUUGUAAUCCGUCUAGUGUUGCAAGUGCCAGGGCUAUAAGCGCGAAAAUCGAAGUUCAUCAAUUGCGGGCAUUUUUCUCCGUCACUCUAAUCUUAAUGAGAGUAAAAGAGAAAGAUCCCCCGCAAUAUGCGAAUUUCGGUUUUCGCGGUAGGCCCCUAUCAGACUACAGCGGACGUGCAGACUGAGGCGCGGGGUCGUCACAUGCAUGUACAUGUCAUCCAGUCAGUGCCACCCACAAAUUGUACCUACUGUUUUUGUGGCAACCGUGUUUUGCACUACUUUACACGUCUCAUUAUUCUUUUGUGUACAGUCGACGCAAAAAUAUGUUUACACUUUUGCACCUUACUCCUUUGUAAUAAGGCGAAAAUGUGAAAAUAUCUUUGACGUCGACUGUAUAUUAUUAUGCUUUUGGUAACGGCUAUUCGCAGCCCUAUGUAAUUGUUAUUUUACCUAAUAUGAACCUUAAUGUUAAUAGCGUAAGUUACAUUUCUGGACGACGCACAUACAAAGCUUGGAUAUGAUUCCUGCAAAGUGCUAAGCUGAGCAAUAAUUUGAUUUAGCAAUCAUAGCUUCAUUUAGCGUAAUUUAUUCUCUAUAGAGUACUUGAGAGAUGUUUUCAUUGUUUAGGUAAAUUAAUGUACCUACCUACUUAUGAUACCUUCAAGUUAUAAAAAAUAUAGGUGCACACAGCAUAUAGCCACAAAAACCUGUACAGUCCGACAAUAAAGAUAUGAAAAUAAUUGAAUGCUACUGAGCCUUUGUCCAAUGUUAGUGCGUCUCACUCUCUCAUUAAAGCAAAAUGUGAGACGCAAUACACAUUAGACAAAGAAAUUGGAUAGGUGGAAUACUACCCUAAGCAGGUAUCAAUAUAUAUUAUACUACGCGACAUGUCAUAUUCACAUUAUGGAUGCAAUACACCAACGUUAUAGGUACACUAUCCAUAAACCAGAAUGACGACCGAUAUCAUAUUCAUAUUAUCAUCUCUUUCACUCCUGCUACGACUAUGCAGGUGUGAAUGAGAAGUCUUACCACCCCUGUCAUCAGUUUGGUUUGCGUAUCUACGUAUAGUUAGUGCGAACUGGGACAUUGCCACCACUUUUGGUACAAUCUGAGGUAUAAAACAUUUAGUUCCUCUUUAUUAAAUUUCUACUCCUUUUUGUCGAACUGUACUAACGGUUCUGAAGGCCUACCGCGACCCACGUUCGACGUGCUGCCUCUCUGUCGCACUUGUUAAUUCGUACGUAAGCGUGACAGGGAGGCAACACGUCAUACGUGGAUCGCGGUAGGCCCUCUGUUUGCAGUCGGGCAAGAGCGCGAGCAUAGUGAGGUGGUAACACCUACCUAUAUAACUUUCUCACUCUUUCUUUAGCAUAAUGCAAUCUGCUAUGCAAGUGCCAGAAUAGCUAACGGCUCCUCUACACGAUUGGCCAACGCCGGCCACUCCAAGGGACGCAGCCAUGCGGUAGAAUGAGAUAACAAUAUCACUUGCUCCCUCUAACGCAUAAAUGCGUCCCUUGGAGUUGCCGGCGUUGGCCCAUCGUGAAGAGGAGCCCUAAGAACCAAAGAGUAUGAGGCAGAAUUCUAUAAUAUCAUAGGCCCUAUAUAUACCUACGCAGCGUUUCGUGGCAUGUCAGCCAAUGGGGGCUCAGCAUAGAGUCAGACAGUAAAUAUGACUACCUCUCAUUCUAACAGAUAGCAUUUCCGUCGGCUAGCUAUUAGGCUAUUUAACAGUCCUGAAGCCUCCUCCACACUCGUGCGCGAAUCGCGGCGCGAAGCCGCGAACGCGAGUGUGGCGUCGAUUUUCGCAGACAGCGAAAUCGACUCCACACUUGCGUUCGCGGCUUCGCCCGCGAUUCACGCGCAUAGUCUGGAGGGGGCUAUAGAAAGAAAAGUAGAUUAACUCUUCGAUUACACACUCGUUGCUGAGAGGCAAAUAGCGAGUCCUAUACUUACACUCGCUUUGCUAUAAAAUAGUACUAUAACUCUUGUCUCUGCUAUCAUGCGUUCAUUCAGUCCGAACCGAAACGCUUCAUUCCUAUCGUUAGCUCUGUGUUGUAGCGUAUUAAAUAUUCGUUGUUAAUUAUUUUUUAUACGAAAUAUUGAUGAAUGUUGCAUUUUGUGUAGAUUUUAAAUUAUAAGUUUGCAAAAUA
Long non-coding RNA from Cydia fagiglandana, 2165 nucleotides. RefSeq lists it as uncharacterized. The record is from RefSeq and is a predicted model, not a curated record. NCBI's taxonomy places the organism in Eukaryota, Metazoa, Arthropoda, Insecta, Lepidoptera, Tortricidae. The transcript is spliced from 2 exons.